This 520-nucleotide ribosomal RNA is filed under the name uncultured Archaeospora. RNAcentral describes it as "SSU rRNA". It matches the Rfam family "Eukaryotic small subunit ribosomal RNA", at positions 569 to 1091 of the family's 1831-position model. The record is from RNAcentral. Lineage: Eukaryota; Fungi; Glomeromycota; Glomeromycetes; Archaeosporales; Archaeosporaceae.
AGCAGCCGCGGUAAUUCCAGCUCCAAUAGCGUAUAUUAAAGUUGUUGCAGUUAAAAAGCUCGUAGUUGAAUUUUGGAUUCUGCCUAUUGGUCCGUCUUUUAGACGAGCACUGGUGGUGUAGGGUCUAUCUGCCUGAUGAUACGUAAUGUCCUUUAUUGGGUGUUGCGGGUAGUCAGGACCUUUACCUUGAAAAAAUUAGAGUGUUUAAAGCAGGCUUAUGCCGGAAUACAUUAGCAUGGAAUAAUAGAAUAGGACGAAGUUGUUUUAUUUUGUUGGUUUCUAGGACAACCGUAAUGAUUAAUAGGGAUAGUUGGGGGCAUUAGUAUUCAAUUGUCAGAGGUGAAAUUCUUGGAUUUAUUGAAGACUAACUACUGCGAAAGCAUUUGCCAAGGAUGUUUUCAUUAAUCAAGAACGAAAGUUAGGGGAUCGAAGACGAUCAGAUACCGUCGUAGUCUUAACCAUAAACUAUGCCGACUAGGGAUCGGGCGAUGUUGUUUCCAUGACUCGCUCGGCACCUUAU